RNAcentral lists this unclassified non-coding RNA (90 nucleotides) under Pseudomonas yamanorum. Lineage: Bacteria; Pseudomonadati; Pseudomonadota; Gammaproteobacteria; Pseudomonadales; Pseudomonadaceae. The record is from RNAcentral.
UGUGGGAGCGGGCUUGCUCGCGAAUGCGGCGUGUCAGUGACUGAUUGUGUCGACUGGCACACCGCAUUCGCGAGCAAGCCCGCUCCCACA